GACGAACGCUGGCGGCGUGCCUAAUACAUGCAAGUCGAGCGCAGGAAAUCGACGGAACCCUUCGGGGGGAAGUCGACGGAAUGAGCGGCGGACGGGUGAGUAACACGUAAAGAACCUGCCCUCAGGUCUGGGAUAACCACGAGAAAUCGGGGCUAAUACCGGAUGGGUCAUCGGACCGCAUGGUCCGAGGAUGAAAGGCGCUUCGGCGGCGCCUGGGGAUGGCUUUGCGGUGCAUUAGCUAGUUGGUGGGGUAAUGGCCCACCAAGGCGACGAUACAUAGCCGACCUGAGAGGGUGAUCUGCCACACUGGGACUGAGACACGGCCCAGCCUCCUACGGGAGGCAGCAGUAGGGAAUCUUCCACAAUGGACGAAAGUCUGAUGGAGCAACGCCGCGUGAACGAUGAAGGCCUUCGGGUCGUAAAGUUCUGUUGUAAGGGAAGAACAAGUGCCGCAGGCAAUGGCGGCACCUUGACGGUACCUUGCGAGAAAGCCACGGCUAACUACGUGCCAGCAGCCGCCGUAA
Molecule: ribosomal RNA, 524 nt
Filed under: uncultured bacterium
Lineage: Bacteria
Description: partial 16S ribosomal RNA
Rfam family: Bacterial small subunit ribosomal RNA
Source: RNAcentral